RNAcentral lists this ribosomal RNA (418 nucleotides) under uncultured Bacteroidota bacterium. RNAcentral describes it as "bacterial SSU rRNA". It matches the Rfam family "Bacterial small subunit ribosomal RNA", at positions 608 to 1029 of the family's 1533-position model. Lineage: Bacteria; Pseudomonadati; Bacteroidota. The record is from RNAcentral.
CUUAACGGUAGAAUUGCCAUUGAUACUGCGAGUCUUGAGUAUGGUUGAGGUAGGCGGAAUGUGCAGUGUAGCGGUGAAAUGCAUAGAGAUUGCACAGAACACCGAUUGCGGAGGCAGCUUACUAAGCCAUAACUGACGCUGAGGCACGAAAGCGUGGGGAGCGAACAGGAUUAGAUACCCUGGUAGUCCACGCUGUAAACGAUGUUCACUCGCUGUUUGCGAUACACAGUAAGCGGCUGAGCGAAAGCAUUAAGUGAACCACCUGGGGAGUACGAUCGCAAGGUUGAAACUCAAAGGAAUUGACGGGGGCCCGCACAAGCGGAGGAACAUGUGGUUUAAUUCGAUGAUACGCGAGGAACCUUACCUGGGCUUAAAUGUAGGCUGCAUUCCCGAGAAAUCGGGAUUCCCUUCGGGGCUG